UGGGGAAUAUUGGGCAAUGGACGAAAGUCUGACCCAGCAACGCCGCGUGAAGGAAGAAGGCUUUCGGGUUGUAAACUUCUUUGACAGGGGAAGAGUAGAAGACGGUACCCUGAAAACAAGCCACGGCUAACUACGUGCCAGCAGCCGCGGUAAUACGUAGGUGGCAAGCGUUGUCCGGAUUUACUGGGUGUAAAGGGCGUGUAGCCGGGUCUGCAAGUCAGAUGUGAAAUCCAUGGGCUUAACCCAUGAACUGCAUUUGAAACUGCGGAUCUUGAGUAUCGGAGAGGUAAUCGGAAUUCCUAGUGUAGCGGUGAAAUGCGUAGAUAUUAGGAGGAACACCAGUGGCGAAGGCGGAUUACUGGACGACAACUGACGGUGAGGCGCGAAAGCGUGGGGAGCAAACA
RNAcentral lists this ribosomal RNA (404 nucleotides) under uncultured Oscillibacter sp. RNAcentral's name for it is "partial 16S ribosomal RNA". It matches the Rfam family "Bacterial small subunit ribosomal RNA", at positions 355 to 774 of the family's 1533-position model. Lineage: Bacteria; Bacillati; Bacillota; Clostridia; Eubacteriales; Oscillospiraceae. The record is from RNAcentral.